This 231-nucleotide long non-coding RNA is filed under the name Bos taurus (domestic cattle). RNAcentral describes it as "long non-coding RNA NONBTAT001184". Lineage: Eukaryota; Metazoa; Chordata; Mammalia; Artiodactyla; Bovidae. The record is from RNAcentral.
CCCGGCCCUCCAGGCUGUCCCGGGGGAGCUAGACGAGUCCUCUCCCAGGUCCUGUCUGCCUAAGAUUCAGCAGCUGGCUGCUGAGCACACGUGCGAUGUCACCUCAUGCAUGUGCUGACAGUGGCUUCUGAGGCUCCAUCCAAAUUACACUCUAGGUGCCCUGCUCUGUCUCUGUGUAGUUGGACUGAGUCGUUUGCCAAGGCUUGGUGGUCCCAGAUUUUGCACCAGGCU